This 206-nucleotide ribosomal RNA is filed under the name uncultured bacterium. Its description in RNAcentral is "partial 16S ribosomal RNA". It matches the Rfam family "Bacterial small subunit ribosomal RNA", at positions 568 to 776 of the family's 1533-position model. The record is from RNAcentral.
UGCGUAGGCGGGUCUUUAAGUCAGGGGUGAAAUCCUGGAGCUCAACUCCAGAACUGCCUUUGAUACUGAGGAUCUUGAGUUCGGGAGAGGUGAGUGGAACUGCGAGUGUAGAGGUGAAAUUCGUAGAUAUUCGCAAGAACACCAGUGGCGAAGGCGGCUCACUGGCCCGAUACUGACGCUGAUGCAAAGACUGGGGAGCGAAACAG